This 270-nucleotide ribosomal RNA is filed under the name uncultured soil bacterium. RNAcentral's name for it is "partial 16S ribosomal RNA". It matches the Rfam family "Bacterial small subunit ribosomal RNA", at positions 26 to 281 of the family's 1533-position model. The record is from RNAcentral.
AGAAUCAACGCUGGCGGCGUGCCUAACACAUGCAAGUCGAGCGCGAAAGGGGGGGCAACUCCCCAAGUAGAGCGGCGAACGGGUGAGUAACGCGUGGGUAAUCUACCUUCGAGUGGGGAAUAACAGCGGGAAACUGCUGCUAAUACCGCAUGACAUCGCCGGGUUUCAGACCUGACGAUCAAAGCCGGGGACCGCAAGGCCUGGCGCUUGAAGACGAGCCCGCGUCCGAUUAGCUAGUUGGCGGGGUAAUGGCCCACCAAGGCGACGAUC